RNAcentral lists this ribosomal RNA (482 nucleotides) under uncultured bacterium. RNAcentral's name for it is "SSU rRNA". It matches the Rfam family "Bacterial small subunit ribosomal RNA", at positions 26 to 523 of the family's 1533-position model. The record is from RNAcentral.
AGGACGAACGCUGGCGGCGUGCUUAACACAUGCAAGUCGAGCGGUGAUCCUCCUUCGGGAGGUGAUCAGCGGCGAACGGGUGAGUAACACGUGGGCAACCUGCCCCUCACACUGGGAUAACCUCGGGAAACCGGGGCUAAUACCGGAUACGACCUCGAGCGGCAUCUCUUGAGGUGGAAAGCUCCGACGGUGAGGGAUGGGCCCGCGGCCUAUCAGCUUGUUGGUGGGGUAAUGGCCUACCAAGGCGACGACGGGUAGCCGGCCUGAGAGGGCGACCGGCCACACUGGGACUGAGACACGGCCCAGACUCCUACGGGAGGCAGCAGUGGGGAAUAUUGCGCAAUGGGCGAAAGCCUGACGCAGCGACGCCGCGUGAGGGAUGAAGGCCUUCGGGUUGUAAACCUCUUUCAGCAGGGACGAAGCGAAAGUGACGGUACCUGCAGAAGAAGCACCGGCUAACUACGCGCCAGCAGCCGCGGUAA